This 279-nucleotide ribosomal RNA is filed under the name uncultured bacterium. Its description in RNAcentral is "partial 16S ribosomal RNA". It matches the Rfam family "Bacterial small subunit ribosomal RNA", at positions 506 to 784 of the family's 1533-position model. The record is from RNAcentral.
UGCCAGCCGCCGCGGUAAUACGUAGGGGGCGAGCGUUGUCCGGAAUCACUGGGCGUAAAGGGCGCGUAGGCGGCCAAAUAAGUUGAAUGUGAAAUCCCCGAGCUCAACUCGGGACGUGCAUUCAAAACUGUUUGGCUUGAGUAUGGUAGAGGUAAGUGGAAUUCCUAGUGUAGCGGUGGAAUGCGUAGAUAUUAGGAGGAACACCAGUGGCGAAGGCGACUUACUGGGCCAUUACUGACGCUGAGGCGCGAAAGCGUGGGGAGCAAACAGGAUUAGAUA